This is a non-coding RNA of Microcebus murinus (gray mouse lemur), 1116 nucleotides long. NCBI's taxonomy places the organism in Eukaryota, Metazoa, Chordata, Mammalia, Primates, Cheirogaleidae. The record is from RefSeq and is a predicted model, not a curated record.
CCCGGCCUGGCCCCAGCGCUCAUUCAUUCGGAUCUUCCUUUCUUCCUCUCCUCCUUCCCCUUGCACCUCCAGGCGCGUGCUCGCUGCUCCCUCCCGCCCCCAAGUCCUGCCGCCGUCCCCGGCUUCUGCCUCCAUCCCCGGCUUCUGCCUCCCCAGCUUGUCCCCCUCGCGUCGAUGUUUGCCCCGCUCCCCAGCUUCCACCACCCCUGCCUCCUCGCGGCUGCCUUUGCUCCUUGCCCCCCUCCUUCUGCUCGUCCCCAGAUCCACACCCCCUUCUCCCCCGGGCUCGCCACGCCUCGCCCGACACCCAGCCCUCCUGGUCACUGGCGUUGAAGUUGGUGUCUUUACUGCUGCCCAUCACUUCGUUUUCCACCUGCAUGGCCAGACUUCCAACUUAUGUGCUGCGUUGACCUUUUGAUUCCCAGCAUUUGAAGUCCAGAUUCUGAGUCUUAGGGUGUGGUCUUAGUGUGUUUCCAAAACACACAAUUUCUACUAUAAUUACCCAAAUCUAUGACUGUCAAACUUUAGUGGUGGUGGCAAUUGCUGUGGGUUUUUUUCCCCCCUAACCUCAUGGCUAUUCUGGGCCAUACUCAAUACCUAUUUUUCCCCCUUUUCUCCCCACUGGAAGAGUGUCUGUGACGGAUUAAUUUUCUAUGAGUGUAAAAUUUGUCAAAAGAUUGUUGUUGUUAUUAUUUUUUUUACUACUCCAGAUUCCUCAUCACUGGUUUCCUUGACUGAUUUGCAACAUUACCUGUUAAUACUUUGCUUUAAUGUUUGUUGGUGAGACUUUUUCUUGUCUCAUCUGUCAACAUUUAUUUGAGUGCCCCCUGUGUGGUGAAUACCGAUGAAAUGCCUGAAUAUAUGCAGUACCACAAAGUGCCAUUCUGGAUAAGACAAAGAUUUUUGGAAUUUGCUUACACCUUAUUUUCUCUUUCUGAAUCAGGAUAAAACCUCUGUUGUGAUGCCAUCUCAACUAAGACCUGAAGAGUGGAUCAGUCAGGCAAAAAGGAAAGUGCACGGAGGUAGAGCAAGGGGCAAAGAUCCUGAAGAUGAGCGAAGUCAUUUUAGAAACUGUACUGGUUCUGUAUGGCAGGAUUGUAUUAUGGAUUAUGUAAA